CUCUGCCCUCGCCGCCCCCAUGCCAAGCAGAAGCCUUUUAAUGGGCACCAGCAGCCUGACAGCUGCCCUGCACCCCGGGCAGCCUGGAUUAGUGCUCGGCCAAGCUGAAAAUGUGGAAGGCGGGUCUCAGGGCAGCCCUGGGUCUCAGUCUCCUCAUCUGGAAGAGGGAAGUUACACCAAAUCUACAAUUCUCAAAGAAUCCAAAGGACCCCAGGAAUUGCUGCGAUGCCAUCCAGUGCCAAGGUUCUGCUUCUCUGAUGGAACCCCAACUGAUACAGAUAUCCUCUGCAGCUUGCCCACCCAGUGUUUUCUUGUAUGCUUCCUGUGAUGGGAGAGGUCACCAGCUCACAAGGCAGCAUAGUUCAUUUUUGGUCAGCUUCAACUCUAACAAGUUACAUUUAUAUUGGACUUGAUUAAGUCUUUAUAUGAACUUGACCCACUGGUGCUGGUUCAACCCCUUGGGCCCAAUAAGCCCAAGGUUGGUUCUUUUAUCUUGUAGCAGCCCAGCAGAUAUUUGAAGGCAGCAUGCAUGCUCUCCACACUUGUCCGUGCCAAGUCUCCCUCAUUUGGCAUGCUGCUCCCCUCCUCUGACUGUUCCCCAGGUUGUUGAUGUCCAUCUUAAAGUCUGGCUGUAUUCCACGCCAUUGCUGACAACAGGAUGAGUGUAUCUAGUAGCCAUAGGAUCACGGGCCUGGAGACCUCCAUUGUCCUUUGCUGUAUGGAUCCCAGCCCACAGGAAGCUGGGGCUCUUCUUGAAAGAAGAAAUGAGGGGCACCUGAGUGGCUCAGUGAUUGAGUGUCUGCCUUUGGCUCAGGUUGAGUGUCUGCCUUUGCCUGGGGUCCUGGGAUUGAA
This is a long non-coding RNA of Canis lupus familiaris (dog), 852 nucleotides long. RefSeq lists it as uncharacterized. The transcript has 3 exons. The record is from RefSeq and is a predicted model, not a curated record. Lineage: Eukaryota; Metazoa; Chordata; Mammalia; Carnivora; Canidae.